Molecule: ribosomal RNA, 2150 nt
Filed under: Megasphaera sp. ASD88
Lineage: Bacteria; Bacillati; Bacillota; Negativicutes; Veillonellales; Veillonellaceae
Description: bacterial LSU rRNA
Rfam family: Bacterial large subunit ribosomal RNA
Source: RNAcentral
AUAAGUUGGUAGCAGUAGACCCGAAACCACAGUGAUCUACCCAUGUCCAGGUUGAAGCACAGGUAAAAAUGUGUGGAGGACCGAACCAGUGAGCGUUGAAAAGCUUUUGGAUGAGAUGUGGGUAGGGGUGAAAUGCCAAUCGAACGUGGAGAUAGCUGGUUCUCCCCGAAAUAGCUUUAGGGCUAGCCUCAUGGUAAGAGUACAGGCGGUAGAGCACUGAACGAGGUAGGGGCCUAUCCGGCUACCGAACUUAAUCAAACUACGAAUGGCUGUACUUAUACAUGGGAGUCAGACUGCGAGUAAUAAGGCCCGUAGUCAAGAGGGAAACAGCCCAGACCAACAGCUAAGGUCCCCAAUGCCGUACUAAGUGGCGAAGGAUGUGGAAUUUCGAAAACAACCAGGAUGUUGGCUUAGAAGCAGCCACCAUUAAAAGAGUGCGUAAUAGCUCACUGGUCGAGAGACUCUGCGCCGAAGAUGACCGGGGCUAAAGUACGGAACCGAAGCUUUGGCAAGUAUCUUGAGAUACUUGGGUAGGGGAGCGUUCCUGCAUGGGAGAAGCCUGACCGGAAGGACAGGUGGACAGGCAGGAAGAGAGAAUGCCGGUAUGAGUAGCGAAAAGAAAGGUGAGAAUCCUUUCCACCGAAAGCCUAAGGGUUCCUGGGCAACGAUCGUCGACCCAGGGUAAGUCGGGACCUAAUCCGAGGCGGAGACGCGUAGGAGAUGGACAACAGGUUGAAAAUCCUGUACCGCAGGAGUCUGUUUGAGCGAAGGAGUGACACAGAAAGGAAUGCGCGCGUGCGAUUGGAAGAGCACGUCCAAGCUGGUAGGUUGUGUGGCAGGCAAAUCCGCCAUACUAAAAGCCGAGAAGUGAUGGGGAGCCAUUGGAGACAAUGGCGAAGGGGCAGGAACUAGGCUGUCGAGAAAAGCUUCUAGUGAGGACUCAGGCGCCCGUACCGAAACCGACACAGGUAGGCAGGAAGAGAAUUCUAAGGUGCGCGGGAAAACCCUCGUUAAGGAACUCGGCAAAAUGUAUCCGUAACUUCGGGAAAAGGAUAGCCUAAAGUAUGUGAGCUGCAGAAACGCAGGGAGCAGGAAUAGGCGGCAGAAGAGAGGCCCAAGCGACUGUUUACCACAAACACAGGCGUCUGCUAAAGCGAAAGCUGACGUAUAGAUGCUGACACCUGCCCGGUGCUGGAAGGUUAAGAGGACGUGUUAGCCGUAAGGCGAAGCAGAGAAUUGAAGCCCCAGUAAACGGCGGCCGUAACUAUAACGGUCCUAAGGUAGCGAAAUUCCUUGUCGGGUAAGUUCCGACCCGCACGAAAGGUGUAACGAUUUGGGCACUGUCUCAACGAGGGACCCGGUGAAAUUGAAGUACCUGUGAAGAUGCAGGUUACCCGCGACUGGACAGAAAGACCCCAUGGAGCUUUACUGUAACCUGAGAUUGGAUUCCGGUAAGAGAUGUACAGGAUAGUUGGGAGGCUGAGAAGCGGGUACGCCAGUAUCCGCAGAGCCGCUGGUGGGAUACCAACCUUGUUUUAUUGGGAUUCUAACGAGAGACGUAACGAGUCUUUGGACAGUCUCAGGCGGGCAGUUUGACUGGGGCGGUCGCCUCCGAAAGAGCAACGGAGGCGCCCAAAGGUUCCCUCAGCGCGGACGGAAACCGCGCGAAGAGUGUAAAGGCAGAAGGGAGCUUGACUGCGAGACGGACAGGUCGAGCAGGGACGAAAGUCGGGCUUAGUGAUCCGGUGGUAGAGAGUGGAAUUGCCAUCGCUCAACGGAUAAAAGCUACCCUGGGGAUAACAGGCUUAUCUCUCCCAAGAGUCCAUAUCGACGGGGAGGUUUGGCACCUCGAUGUCGGCUCAUCACAUCCUGGGGCUGAAGUAGGUCCCAAGGGUUGGGCUGUUCGCCCAUUAAAGUGGUACGCGAGCUGGGUUCAGAACGUCGUGAGACAGUUCGGUCCCUAUCCAUCGCGGGCGGAAGAAACUUGAAAGGGGCUGCUCCUAGUACGAGAGGACCGGAGUGGACGGACCAAUGGUGUACCAGUCAUGGCGCCAGCCGUGCAGCUGGGUAGCUACGUCCGGGACGGAUAAACGCUGAAAGCAUCUAAGCGUGAAACCAGCCUAAAGAUGAGGUUUCUCAUUGUGAAAGCA